Molecule: ribosomal RNA, 253 nt
Filed under: uncultured bacterium
Lineage: Bacteria
Description: partial 16S ribosomal RNA
Rfam family: Bacterial small subunit ribosomal RNA
Source: RNAcentral
UACAGAGGUGGCAAGCGUUGUUCGGAAUUACUGGGCGUAAAGGGCGCGUAGGCGGUCUUUUAAGUCUUGUGUGAAAUCCCUCGGCUCAACUGAGGAAGUGCGCCCGAAACUGCAGAGCUUGAGUACCGGAGAGGGUGGCGGAAUUCCCCAAGUAGAGGUGAAAUUCGUAGAUAUGGGGAGGAACACCGGUGGCGAAGGCGGCCACCUGGACGGUCACUGACGCUGAGACGCGAAAGCGUGGGGAGCAAACAGG